UUUACUUUGGAGUUGCAGCUUUAGGAAACUGAGACAUUUGGGUUCUGCAAAAUGUCUCCUAAACCAAUUCAUCUCUAGCUCCCUUGUUUUUGACUAUUCCCCAAGGGCCUGCCUAUUGUUUUAACAUAUUUUGAUAGCCUUAUAACAUUUAUAGCAGCUGAAGUUUGAAAUAUCUACCUGGUUUUCAUUUACUAUUAUUGCCUAUGCUUUUGUUUAUUUAACUGUAAACAUUCCAUAAUAGUCUAUCAUCCUUGAAAAAUGCUGAACAGUUUUUUUCAGAUUGGAAGCCUGUAUUAUAAUUAUUUCCAUAUGGAUGAAUAUAGUGAUCUGCAGUAUAAUUUAUUCAUCUGGAAAGUCGAAACUUCAUUUUCUGAGGCAAAUAUAAGCUCAUGGACUCCCUUGUGGUAAAUCUAGAUGAAUAUUCUCAUUGCUUCAGAAUAUAUCAUGCAUACCUAGUUAAGAGACCUUGCAGCAAAAUUGUCAUUUCUGAAUUUCAUCAGGCAAAGUGUACGUAUUUGCCUUGGCUUUAAACUUGCUAAAGGAGAGAAGCCGAUGUGGGAAAUUUUCUCAGGUGCAGAGACUAGCAGACUGUUAACUAGGGUUGACACGAGUUCAUUUGCUUGUCCUAAAUUACAUGAGUUGGACUCAUUUUGAUGCUACCCAUAUUGCUGCCAGUGUUUUUCUAAUUUAUUUUGAAGUCAUUCACUCUUUUUCAAGCUCUUCUAAAGCAGGAGGUGGGAGUGAGGGAGUGUUACUUUUGACAUCACCUAGACUGGAAUAUUCUACUAUGUUUGACUUGAUAGUUUAAGUACAUACAGCAAAAGGCAAACCACGCUCUGCCAUCAUAUUUGUUUCUUACGCUAUUAUGUUCCCGAGUCAUAAUAUAUUUGCAAGGAUAUUUGCCUUUAGCCUUGGUCAAAUGCCUUGCACGUAGAAUUAAGUGAUUUCAUUAAAGUGCAUUGGAGGAGAAAAAUAAUAUACGACAGGAAGUCUACAAGUAUAAAGAAUUUAGCCAGAAGUUGUGAUGUAAUUUUAAACAAAUAACCUUCAGAAAUUAUCCUGAUAGAUUUAUUGGCACAUCCUCAGAAAGUACCUAAAUUUGUGAUGUGGGCUCCAAUCAUAAAGAGUUUUGUUACAGAAAAUUCUCAAUGAAGUGGCUAAUUUAUUCUUGCCAAUUGCCCAUGGAAAUGGAAUUAAGCCUCGUUAACUUGAAAGAGAAUAGAUGUCCUCCAUGAUGGAGGGGGACAGUGGCCCUGAAAUGGGCAGAUACAGAGUCCUCCAAGGGUAUUUUUCUCACCUGAGGCAGUCAAAGGGAUUUCUAAACAUUACUUUAUAAAUCUUACUUUUUGAUGAUUUUUGAAAUUGAAUUGAGUUGAGCUGAAGCCCUUAUUGCAUUGAAUUUUCAUGCAAGUCAAGGACCAGUGGACAUGAAUAAGAAUUAAAGAGAUCCACAAAUAGAGCCCUGAAAAAAACCCACAUUUUUACAUUACAUUUGGAUACUCUCAUUGCACUGAGACCUGAAUUGUCAUUGACGAGUUUCUCAGUCUUGUCAGUAAUGAUAGCAUCUCUGGGUGCCAGCGAACAGCAAUUUUCUGCAGUAGCUGUUGUGACCGGUUCAUAUUAAGAUGAAAUGUUGUCACGAGACAGAUAUAGGAAAGCCUUAUACUUGCUUCUGUCCAAUGCAAGGGAACUUUUUUUCUCUGCUUGGUCAAAAAGAGAUUAGGAAAGGAUACAUUGGAAUUUCUUAUUGAUUUAUUUGUUUGUUUUUUGUGGUCACACCCGCAACAUAUGGAAAUUCCAGUGCCAGGGAUUGAAUCCGAACUGGAUCCUUUAACACACUGCACUGGGCCAGGAUCAAACCCACCCGUCUGCAGUGAUCCAGACUACUGGGUUGAACUCUUAACCCACUGUGCCACCGCGGGAACUCCGGAUACACUGGCAUUUUGAUUGCAUGAUAUACAUCGUGUCGUUAUUGAACAUAAUAUUUUUAUCAUAAAGGCAGAGUGAAUGAGGUGUACUAUCACUAGUUACAUAGUGUUAAGACUCAUUUGACCAUUUACAGAUAUCUUUUGUGCUUCUUUAUCAGCUAUCAAAGAGGAGCAAAUUUGGUUUAUAUCACGGGUUACACAAGGACUGGAUGAAUGGUUAGUACAGCUUUUCUUGUGAUUUGAGACAUCAUUUGAAGUUCAAGUCAGCUUGGAUGUCAACCCCAACAGCUGAGCUUGCUAUUUGAUUAAGGAAUCAGAGUUGCAUGGAUGGGUUUAUUGGAAAUGGCAGAUGAUGCACUGACAGAUGUCUGCCCUGAAGGUUUGCAAUUCUUAUUCUUUUGUUUCCAAAAUAUUUAGGAUGCAAUAUUUACAUUGUAACAGAAGCUUGUGAAUCUUUAAAUAUAUCGCAUUUAUCAUUAAGGCUACCUAAAGGAUUUUGAAAGCUAGGACAACAGCAGAUAAUUUAGAGCACCAGCAAAAUGUAAACGGAAAUGCUAAGAGGUGUUACUGAAGACUUCGGCAUAUUACCUUCUCCAAUGAAACGUAAUAUACAUGAACCUCAAAUAAUAUAUUGAGAUACAGAUGAAAGCUGGCUAUCCAAUUAAUAAUGAAGCAUUUGGAACUUUUUUCCCUUGAGGACUCUAGAAGUUUUUAAAUGUGAUUACAAAUACAAAGACUUUUAAAAAAUUUCUUAAAAGAAAAGAAACAUCUUUUUAGGGCUGUACCGGCAGCAUAUGGAGGUUCCCAGGCUAGGGGUCUAAUCAGAGCUGUAGCGGCUGACCUAUACCACAGCUCACAGCAACGCCGGAUCCUUAACCCACUGAGCGAGGCCAGGGAUCGAACACAAAACCUCAUGGUUCCUAGUCAGAUUCCUUUCCACUGUGCCAUGACAGGAACUCCAAGGGAGAAGGGGAGGGAGUGGAAGGGACUGGGAGCUUGGGGUAAAUAGUUGCAGAAUGUUGCCUUUGGGAUGGAUUAGAAAUGGGAUCCUGCUGUGUAGCAUUGGAAACCCUGUCUAGUCACUUAUGAUGGAGCACUUAAUUUGAGAAAAAAAGAAUGUAUACAUGUAUGUAUAACUGGGUCACCAUGCUGUACAGUA
Molecule: long non-coding RNA, 3087 nt
Filed under: Sus scrofa (pig)
Lineage: Eukaryota; Metazoa; Chordata; Mammalia; Artiodactyla; Suidae
Description: lncRNA (ENSSSCG00000060195.1)
Source: RNAcentral